RNAcentral lists this long non-coding RNA (1305 nucleotides) under Capra hircus (goat). Its description in RNAcentral is "lncRNA (ENSCHIG00010007464.1)". Lineage: Eukaryota; Metazoa; Chordata; Mammalia; Artiodactyla; Bovidae. The record is from RNAcentral.
GAUUUUCCAGGCAAAAGUACUGGAGUGGGGUGCCAUUGCCUUCUCCAUGUCCUAGCUAUUGUAAAUAGUGUUGCAGUGAAUAUUGGGGUACAUGUGUCUUUUUCAAUUAUGGCUUCCUCAGGGUAUAUGCCCAGUAGUGGGAUUGUUAGGCCAUAUGGUAGUUUUAUUUGGUGGGAAUGUAAAUUGAUAUAGCCGUUAUGGAGCAUGGUAUAGAGAUUCCUUAAAAAACUAGAGCUGAGAUUCUUGAUGGGAGUGAGGCAGGUUGUCAGCUUUUGAGGCAAAAGAAUGGAGAGCAGCAUCUCACUUUCUCAAAAAGGAGCCCUAGACUUUUGUUGUACUACCCUCUGUGAUUAUGCAUCCAUAUGUCCCAAGGCCAAGACUUGGAUUUAAUGUUGACAUCUGGUCCCCUGACUCCUGUCUGCCCUUGAAGAAUCGUGGCUCAGAUGUGUUCCUCCACUCUUCAUACUUUGGACAACUGCCUUAAGUCAACUAGAGAGUUCUGGAAUCUGUAGCUCAGGCUGUUGCAGGGGGAAUCCUAGGCCUCACGCUUUAAGUGCAUGAAGACUGAGUUGCCCUCCUCCACACGUCUUAAGAAGGCCAUUGACUCUGCUUUUCAAAAAUGACUCACUUCAUGCUUUGGACCUGAGGAUGGACAGUGGACUUUUCAGAAGGAACAUCCAAUUCACAGAGCCAUUUGGCUUCUGGAGAGGAAUCAGCAACGUGUUUUCUCAGGGGUGGUUCAGCAGCUCUGUCCUGUCGUCAAGGAUGGAUGUCCUCACUGUGGUGUCAACGUCUCCAUCUGUGGCCAGCAGAUGGCUGCAGCAGCUGCAAGGACCACAUCCUUUCAUGGCAACUUCCAGGAGCACCUUGAGAGUGGGGGGCUCUCUACAUGGGUGUCUCCUCCCUUAUCAUGAAGGCAGUUGCAUCCUCGCCAUCUGCCAGCACGUCCUUUACAUCUCAUCAGCCAGGACUGGGUCGAGCGGCCAUCUCCAGCCAGAAGAGCAGUUAGGAAAAUUGGUAACUGGUGCUUCCUGCCACCAGAAUGGAAGCAGACAUACCAAGGGAAAUAGAUCUGUCAAUGGCUGGCACAUGGUCAGCCAAGAGCCAUUUUUAAUUCGAGGUCUUUUGAGCUUCUGUAUAAAUUUUAAGAUUAUUUAUUCUAAUUCUGUGGAAAAUGUCAUGGGUAUUUUGAUAGGGAUCGCAUUAAAUUUGCAGAUUGUUUUGGGUAGUAUGGCUGUGUUAACAAUAGUAAUCCUUCAAAUACAAGAGCAUGAGUUAUCUUUCCAUUUCUUUAAAUCAUAUUAA